RNAcentral lists this ribosomal RNA (486 nucleotides) under uncultured bacterium. RNAcentral's name for it is "partial 16S ribosomal RNA". It matches the Rfam family "Bacterial small subunit ribosomal RNA", at positions 30 to 507 of the family's 1533-position model. The record is from RNAcentral.
AUUGAACGCUGGCGGCAUGCCUUACACAUGCAAGUCGAACGGCAGCACGGGUGCUUGCACCUGUUGGCGAGUGGCGAACGGGUGAGUAAUACAUCGGAACAUGUCCUGUAGUGGGGGAUAGCCCGGCGAAAGCCGGAUUAAUACCGCAUACGAUCUACGGAUGAAAGCGGGGGACCUGCGGGCCUCGCGCUAUAGGGUUGGCCGAUGGCUGAUUAGCUAGUUGGUGGGGUAAAGGCCUACCAAGGCGACGAUCAGUAGCUGGUCUGAGAGGAUGACCAGCCACACUGGGACUGAGACACGGCCCAGACUCCUACGGGAGGCAGCAGUGGGGAAUUUUGGACAAUGGGCGAAAGCCUGAUCCAGCAAUGCCGCGUGUGUGAAGAAGGCCUUCGGGUUGUAAAGCACUUUUGUCCGGAAAGAAAUCCUUGGCCCUAAUACGGUCGGGGGAUGACGGUACCGGAAGAAUAAGCACCGGCUAACUACGUG